RNAcentral lists this ribosomal RNA (503 nucleotides) under uncultured bacterium. RNAcentral's name for it is "partial 16S ribosomal RNA". It matches the Rfam family "Bacterial small subunit ribosomal RNA", at positions 30 to 523 of the family's 1533-position model. The record is from RNAcentral.
AUUGAACGCUGGCGGCAGGCUUAACACAUGCAAGUCGAGCGGGGUGAUGGUGCUUGCACUAUCACUUAGCGGCGGACGGGUGAGUAAAGCUUAGGAAUCUGCCUAUUAGUGGGGGACAACAUCUCGGAAGGGAUGCUAAUACCGCCUACGUCCUAAGGGAGAAAGCAGGGGAUCACUUGUGACAUCGCGCUGAUAGAUGAGCCUAAGUCGGAUUAGCUAGUUGGUGGGGUAGAGGCCUACCAAGGCGAGGAUCUGUAGCGGGUCUGAGAGGACGAUCCGCCACACUGGGACUGAGAGACGGCCCAGACUCCUACGGGAGGCAGCAGUGGGGAAUAUUUGACAAUGGGUGGAACCCUGAUCAAGCCAUGCCGCGUGUGUGAAUAAGGCCUUAUGGUUGUAAAGCACUUUAAGCGAGGAGGAGGCUCUUUUGGUUAAUACCCAAGAUGAAUGGACGUUACUCGCAGAAUAAGCACCGGCUAACUCUGUGCCAGCCGCCGCAGUAA